This 1197-nucleotide long non-coding RNA is filed under the name Volvox carteri. RNAcentral's name for it is "long non-coding RNA (VCAR_LNC002584)". The record is from RNAcentral. Lineage: Eukaryota; Viridiplantae; Chlorophyta; Chlorophyceae; Chlamydomonadales; Volvocaceae.
UGUAAAUCGUUCGAGUCUUACAAUCUAUAAGUAUAUUUUACGCUACGUCAUAUCGCGCAACGCGCAACGUCACGGACCUCGCAUUGCAGGGAGUCAGCCGUGGCCGCCAUGACUGCUUCCGAUAAAACAGUAGAUGUAUACUAAGGAUUUAAUCUAGACAGUCAUUGUAACUUAUUACAAUCAAAUAAUCACCAGCAAUAUUUCCGAGUAUCCACAGGCGACGUGAAAUUCGCGUCUCCAUCAGCCCAAUACCACUGCACGACACAAACCGAAAUAACGGACCGUCCGACCAAAUUUCAUUACACAAUUUAUAUCAUAGGUUCCAGUUCUUGUAAAAGCUGAUGCACCCGGACGUCAAGCCCGCAAGGGCAAGCACGACGGGGCUGUUCAGGGCCCUGUGCCGGCCACCUGCAACCAAGGAAACAUGCUCUCUUAGGAUAGCGUGCACCCAAAAUUUCCACGUGAAUUGCGGCAGCACUCACCGGUCACGUCAUUGAGUGCCAUAACGGAGUCAGCGAUGUCCUGGACUAUAAGUGCGCACCGAAGGUUCCUCUGGAAGCGCAGUGUCACCAACGUGCUUUCCAACUUGGCGUCCGUCACGCCCUCCUCCUGCGUGCCGGAAAAGUUACAGGUGAGAAGGCAUACGGGUUGAUCUUUAGCGCCGGUCCAUUCAGCGGCGCAUUAUAAGAUUGUAUGUACUAACUCGCUCGUUGUGUCGGUUAUGAGUUGACAAACCUUCCGUAGCUUCAGCAACCGCUCUGUAAGCUCGCUCUCCUGCUUGAUCAGCUUUUCCAGCUUUAAAUACGAGAUCCAAAUGUUUCCUGCGUAGCCUACAAGCUCCGCAAACGCGCUUGCAUAAGCCAGGCGUUCCUCGAGGUCUUUGUUCAGCGCUCCAGUCUUGACGAGCCUGGCACACGUGUACAAUAUCGAUUUAUUUUAUUAAGAUGUGCGUGGGUGCGGUCAUCAUAAAACCAAACCGCAAAACUUACCAGGUGAAUUGCUCAAUGAAAUAGUAAAUACCCUCGCCACCGUACGCCAGCAGCUCCAGGAUAAUUGUGGCAUCUUUCGUUUUGCUAUGGCGCAGACUAUUGACAUCCUGGAGGAACUUGCCCAAUCGGAACGCUUUCCUGUAUGGCAACCGACAGAAGUCACGGAAAGAGCACCAUGACGAGGAGUUUGAAAGCCCUGCACCCACCG